GUGGGGAAUCUUGGACAAUGGGCGCAAGCCUGAUCCAGCCAUGCCGCGUGAGUGAAGAAGGUCUUCGGAUUGUAAAGCUCUUUUGCCAGGGACGAUAAUGACGGUACCUGGAGAAUAAGCCCCGGCAAACUUCGUGCCAGCAGCCGCGGUAAUACGAAGGGGGCUAGCGUUGUUCGGAAUUACUGGGCGUAAAGCGCACGUAGGCGGGCGAUUAAGUCAGGGGUGAAAUCCCGGAGCUCAACUCCGGAACUGCCUUUGAUACUGGUCGUCUAGAGAUCGGAAGAGGUGAGUGGAAUUCCCAGUGUAGAGGUGAAAUUCGUAGAUAUUGGGAAGAACACCAGUGGCGAAGGCGGCUCACUGGUCCGAUACUGACGCUGAGGUGCGAAAGCGUGGGGAGCAAACAGGAUUAGAAACCCCAGUAGUCC
RNAcentral lists this ribosomal RNA (425 nucleotides) under uncultured bacterium. RNAcentral's name for it is "bacterial SSU rRNA". It matches the Rfam family "Bacterial small subunit ribosomal RNA", at positions 354 to 796 of the family's 1533-position model. The record is from RNAcentral.